Sinocyclocheilus anshuiensis is the source of this 391-nucleotide long non-coding RNA. RefSeq lists it as uncharacterized. The record is from RefSeq and is a predicted model, not a curated record. Lineage: Eukaryota; Metazoa; Chordata; Actinopteri; Cypriniformes; Cyprinidae. The transcript has 4 exons.
CAUGCUGAGAAUUCAACCAAGCACUGGUUGUCCAUUUACCAACUCAUAGAGAGAUACCUACAGGAGCAGAGGACAGACUCCAGACAUGAUGAUGGUGUGGAGUAUCUUUCCCUCUCGUCAGUUUCAUCCACCCUGCAGGCCUUCAUUGAAGGCUCCACCUUAGGAGAGUUUUCUGUCCGCUUGUCCAUGUUGCUUGGUUUUCACUGCCACGUCCUGCUGGCUCCCAAACAGGAAGGACAUGACUCGCUCUGCAGUUUGCUGUGGAAUCUCUAUAAAUAUUACACCCAGUUCUCAGAGAGCAUCCAGAACAAGAUCACCCAGCUGAGGUCUCCUAUAGAGAAAGAGCUCAAAGACUUUGUCAAAAUCUCCAAGUGGAAUGAUGUCAGUUUUU